RNAcentral lists this long non-coding RNA (1199 nucleotides) under Diabrotica virgifera virgifera (western corn rootworm). RNAcentral's name for it is "uncharacterized LOC126884377". Lineage: Eukaryota; Metazoa; Arthropoda; Insecta; Coleoptera; Chrysomelidae. The record is from RNAcentral.
UCCAAUUCUUGUAGUCAAUCUUCACAGUCUUCGUCUUGCAACCCUUUCUUAGACACAGCCUCCGACUUCAUUUUUCCAAGAUUUUCUCGGUCGUCCUCUUCUUCUUGUUUGUCUUGGGCUUCAUUCUGCAACCUUGCCAUCCAUGUGUUUUCUGCUCCGCAGACGUGACCGUACCAUUCAGUCUUCUCUCGUCCUUAUAAUGCAGGACAUAUUUUUCCAUUGCAUCUCUCCUCAUCUCCUCACUUGUUACUUGGUCUUUCUUGUGAGACCACAACAAUUUCCCAGUUUUCCAUUUCGAUUGGGAAAUGCGCUUUUGGAUUGAUUUGUUUAUGACCGAAAUUUCGGAGGCAUAUGCCAUGAUGCUUCGUACAAUUAUUAAGUACAUCACAUUUUUCUUUGUUCUUUCCCUUGAUGUUCUUAUUCCAGAUCAUUAUAGAGUUGUCUGAUGCAAGAUCUGUUGUCCCAAUAUAUUUUUCAUUUUUAUUUCUGCCCCUGCUGUUCCGUUUUUCGACAUUACAAAACCCAAAUUUAAAAUUCCGUUCCUUUUAUUCCUACUUAUCUAUUGCCAAAUCAUUGACGUCUUCUUCCGAUAUUGCUAAGUAGUCCGUUUUUUCAUAUCUAUUUCCAGGCCCGCCGGUAUUUUUUUUUUUAUAACCCACAUAACCCAUAUUCUGAGAUGCAAAGAUUCAAAUAAUUCUGCCAUAAUAAAUCCCAUCUUACAUAACAAACAAAUCAACACAACCCAUAUUCCGAGAUUUAAAGCUUCAAAUAAUUCUGCCACAUUAUUCUACCCUUCGAACAAAAAAUUUCUCUAACACCCCUGUAUAAGUUAAGUCAAUAUUCUACCUCUUACUCAAGGGCUUGAGCCAUAAAUCUUACAAACAUGCGUGUCGUCGGCUAGUGGGUGGAUUUGGCAUAGGGAAAAAUAACAUCUCAUUUGCCGCUAAUUCGUCUAACGGUGAUCAACUACAAAUGAAGGCUUCAGUGAGAUUCAAAUCACCGAAUUAAAUAACUAGCCAAUGAACAUUAAUACAUGGUGUAUUUUUCCGCAGUGUAUCGUUAAGUUGUUGUUAUAGAAUGAGUAGUAUCUGUAGAAUUUUUGUUUUAACAUCUUAAACAUACUACAAAUUGCUUUUGAACUGAUGAAGCUUUCGAAAUUGUAAAGCGAAACGUUUUCAAUAUAUCAAUGAAGUAGUUGA